Molecule: ribosomal RNA, 462 nt
Filed under: Pharus latifolius
Lineage: Eukaryota; Viridiplantae; Streptophyta; Magnoliopsida; Poales; Poaceae
Description: eukaryotic LSU rRNA
Rfam family: Eukaryotic large subunit ribosomal RNA (bases 353-462)
Source: RNAcentral
AGUCAUGAUAUGCGAUACUUGGUGUGAAUUGCAGAAUCCCGCGAACCAUCGAGUCUUUGAAUACAAAUUGCGCCCGAGGCCAUCUGGUCGAGGGCACACCUGCUUGGGCGUCACACCAAACGACGCUCCGCCAACCCUCCACCUGAACGGUCGGUGGGAAAGGACGCGGCCUCUGGCCCCCCGCGCCUCUGUGAGCGGUGGGCCGAAGAUGUGGCUGCCGAUGUCGCAUGUCGGGCACAGCGCGUGGUGGGCGGCCUCGCUUCUCUUGACGCAUUGCACCUCGUCACAUGUCGGCAUAUCGGCCAGAAGGACCGAAGAAUCCCAGGACCCCAGCAGGAGGGGACUCGGACUGCGACUCUAGGUCAGGCGGGAACCCCUGCCAAGUUUAAGCAUAUAAAUAAGCGGAGGAGAAGAAACUUACAUGUAUUCCCCUAGUAACGGGAGCGAACCAGGUUUUUCCCA